This 494-nucleotide ribosomal RNA is filed under the name uncultured bacterium. Its description in RNAcentral is "bacterial SSU rRNA". It matches the Rfam family "Bacterial small subunit ribosomal RNA", at positions 774 to 1272 of the family's 1533-position model. The record is from RNAcentral.
AGAGAAUAGAUACCCUGGUAGUCCACGCUGUAAACGAUGAUUACUAGGUGUGGGGGGACUGACCCCUUCCGUGCCGGAGCAAAAACGCAAUAAGUAAUCCACCUGGGGAGUACGGCCGCAAGGUUGAAACUCAAAGGAAUUGACGGGGGCCCGCACAAGCAGUGGAGUAUGUGGUUUAAUUCGAAGCAACGCGAAGAACCUUACCAGGUCUUGACAUCGAGUGAAGUCAUAAGAGAUUAUGACGUCCUACGGGACACAAAGACAGGUGGUGCAUGGUUGUCGUCAGCUCGUGUCGUGAGAUGUUGGGUUAAGUCCCGCAACGAGCGCAACCCUUAUCAAUAGUUGCUACGCAAGAGCACUCUAUUGAGACUGCCGUUGACAAAACGGAGGAAGGUGGGGAUGACGUCAAAUCAUCAUGCCCCUUAUGACCUGGGCUACACACGUACUACAAUGGCAAUUAACAGAGGGAAGCAAAGCAGCGAUGCAGAGCGAAA